RNAcentral lists this ribosomal RNA (378 nucleotides) under uncultured eukaryote. RNAcentral's name for it is "partial 18S ribosomal RNA". It matches the Rfam family "Eukaryotic small subunit ribosomal RNA", at positions 592 to 975 of the family's 1831-position model. The record is from RNAcentral.
CAAUAGCGUAUAUUUAAGUUGCUGCAGUUAAAAAGCUCGUAGUUGGAUUUCGGAUGGGAUUUGCCGGUCCGCCGUUUCGGUGUGCACUGGCCAGUCCCAUCUUGUUGUCGGGGACUAGCUCCUGGGCUUCACUGUCCGGGACUAGGAGCUGACGAGGUUACUUUGAGUAAAUUAGAGUGUUCAAAGCAAGCCUACGCUCUGAAUACAUUAGCAUGGAAUAACAUGAUAGGACUCUGGCUUAUCUUGUUGGUCUGUGAGACCAGAGUAAUGAUUAAGAGGGACAGUCGGGGGCAUUCGUAUUUCAUUGUCAGAGGUGAAAUUCUUGGAUUUAUGAAAGACGAACUUCUGCGAANGNAUUUGUNAAGGAUGUUUNCAUUA